This 302-nucleotide long non-coding RNA is filed under the name Medicago truncatula (barrel medic). Its description in RNAcentral is "lncRNA gene2692". Lineage: Eukaryota; Viridiplantae; Streptophyta; Magnoliopsida; Fabales; Fabaceae. The record is from RNAcentral.
AUGUAUAACAUUAAACCCCAUCCCGUUACGUAUCAGAGCGACCUAGACGACACAGUGAAGGCAAGGCCACUCACGACGGCAACUGCACACUAAGCACGAUCACCUGCAACGAACAACUCCGGAUACAACUCCCACAUCUUACUCUCCAGCUCCCAAGUCAAACUUUCACUAGUCGCUCCACCCCAAACGACUCUCACAAGAGGUAUCUCUUUACCUCUCAAGGACUUCACCUUUCUGUCAUCAAUCCUCAAUGGCAUAGUCUCAACUGUCAGGUUGUCUCUAACCUGUACAUCAUCAUCCCU